Molecule: non-coding RNA, 74 nt
Organism: Lynx canadensis (Canada lynx)
Lineage: Eukaryota; Metazoa; Chordata; Mammalia; Carnivora; Felidae
Source: the annotation of a RefSeq genome assembly
GCCUGGGUAGCUCAGUUGGCAGAGCAUCAGACUUUUAAUCUGAGGGUCCAGGGUUCAAGUUCCCUGUCCAGGCA